UACGGGGGGGGCAAGCGUUGUUCGGAAUUACUGGGCGUAAAGGGCGCGUAGGCGGCCUGCUAAGUCGGAUGUGAAAUCCCUCGGCUCAACCGAGGAACUGUAUCCGAUACUGGCGGGCUUGAAUCCGGGAGAGGGAUGUGGAAUUCCAGGUGUAGCGGUGAAAUGCGUAGAUAUCUGGAGGAACACCGGUGGCGAAGGCGGCAUCCUGGACCGGUAUUGACGCUGAGGCGCGAAAGCUAGGGGAGCAAACGGG
RNAcentral lists this ribosomal RNA (253 nucleotides) under uncultured bacterium. RNAcentral's name for it is "partial 16S ribosomal RNA". It matches the Rfam family "Bacterial small subunit ribosomal RNA", at positions 524 to 776 of the family's 1533-position model. The record is from RNAcentral.